This 465-nucleotide ribosomal RNA is filed under the name Vreelandella stevensii. RNAcentral describes it as "partial 16S ribosomal RNA". It matches the Rfam family "Bacterial small subunit ribosomal RNA", at positions 338 to 795 of the family's 1533-position model. Lineage: Bacteria; Pseudomonadati; Pseudomonadota; Gammaproteobacteria; Oceanospirillales; Halomonadaceae. The record is from RNAcentral.
CCUACGGGUGGCUGCAGUGGGGAAUAUUGGACAAUGGGGGCAACCCUGAUCCAGCCAUGCCGCGUGUGUGAAGAAGGCCCUCGGGUUGUAAAGCACUUUCAGUGAGGAAGAACGCCUGGUGGUUAAUACCCAUCAGGAAAGACAUCACUCACAGAAGAAGCACCGGCUAACUCCGUGCCAGCAGCCGCGGUAAUACGGAGGGUGCGAGCGUUAAUCGGAAUUACUGGGCGUAAAGCGCGCGUAGGUGGCUUGAUAAGCCGGUUGUGAAAGCCCCGGGCUCAACCUGGGAACGGCAUCCGGAACUGGCAAGCUAGAGUGCAGGAGAGGAAGGUAGAAUUCCCGGUGUAGCGGUGAAAUGCGUAGAGAUCGGGAGGAAUACCAGUGGCGAAGGCGGCCUUCUGGACUGACACUGACACUGAGGUGCGAAAGCGUGGGUAGCAAACAGGAUUAGAUACCCCGGUAGUC